Volvox carteri f. nagariensis is the source of this 224-nucleotide small nucleolar RNA. It matches the Rfam family "Plant small nucleolar RNA U3". From Rfam's summary of the family: Small nucleolar RNAs (snoRNAs) are involved in the processing and modification of rRNA in the nucleolus. The record is from Rfam. NCBI's taxonomy places the organism in Eukaryota, Viridiplantae, Chlorophyta, Chlorophyceae, Chlamydomonadales, Volvocaceae.
AUGACCGUACUUGAACAGGAUCUGUUCUAUAGGUCAUACACCUGUCUGUGUUCUUUAACUCAGACAAGCUCCUCAACCCAGACGAAGAGAUAGAAUCCCUGCACCUGAGCGCAACGUAAGGCCGCAGUGGCCGUGCCGCUGGCACGGACGCGCGGCUCUGGAUGAACAUCCCUCCGAGCCUCAUUCCGCCGGUAGGGAUGGUGCCUGGGACAUUCAGAUGGGUU